Gadus macrocephalus (Pacific cod) is the source of this 2138-nucleotide long non-coding RNA. RefSeq lists it as uncharacterized. The transcript is spliced from 5 exons. Lineage: Eukaryota; Metazoa; Chordata; Actinopteri; Gadiformes; Gadidae. The record is from RefSeq and is a predicted model, not a curated record.
ACCCUGAAUAUCGAGAUAAUUGUUGUUUUUAUUGUGGUUUUGUAUUGAAUUAUUCCAUUGUUUUUAAGCAAGGAGUUGAGGUUUAAAGUUGUUGUGGAACGUACAUGGUGGUUCGGUUUUUCGUACGGUUUUGAGUGAUUUAACUUGUACACACUGGGUGCAUAAUAAUGUAAAGGUACACUGAAUAGCAGUAAUGACCAACAGCAACAAACAGAUCACAUCAAGGUAAGUCUGUUGGCUGUGUUUUAAUGAAGACCAUCGCUGGACUUCAGGAUCUUCCUCCGUUCAGCUCAAGGUGAGGCGCUGGUUCUGUUUUUUCUUUGGUUGGUUCCGGCCGGAAUGUUCGGAUUCCAGUCGGUGGGUUUGUGCUUCCCGGCGUGGAAGGCUCGGAGUGCGCUCGCUUGAUUUAGUCUCAAUGGUUAGCAUAGAACGUUGUAGUCUUGACAACCAUAAGAACCCACGUGGCCGUUAGUUGGACGUGAAUCCCCUGAGGGUAUCUGGCGGAACGUUCUGGAUGUAUUUGCGUAUCUUCCAGCCGUUGCCAACAGAAACUAUUUUUCGGGUUUCCAUUAGGAAUUGUUGCCCCUUAUCUUAAACUACUUAUGUUUGAUAUUGAAUAUACAUUCGCGCGUACAUCGUACAAUAUGUUGAUAAUUUCGCCGACUUAAACCACGUUGACGGGACUCUCGCUGCGUUCAAAACAGCGUUCUACUUGCGGGCCCAUUUCUGAUCAUCAGUGAAGGCUGAAGAUCAUUUCAAGGUGGAUGACAAUUUGGCAUUUCUUCGACGGAACCCUGCACCUGAAUAUGGCUGAGUAUAUUUGAUUGAAUAUCGAUACUGCUUAGUGUUCUUUGUUACUUCUGCUUUCAUACGUUCUAAAUAUCUGGUGUCAAUAUUUGCCACAGAAGUAAAACCCUACCCAAUGGAAUGACGUCAAACAACAACUUUGGUGCUUGGUUACCAACUGGAUAAUAACAAAGCUAAAAUAAUGUCUGUCUUUCCCACAUGUUACAGUAGAAGAAACUCUAGAACUGUAUAAGGUUAAAAAGGUAACAUGUUUGUCCCAAGGUGUCUGCCUCCUCACCCAGAGCCAGACCUCCUCCUCCUCACCCAGAGCCAGACCUCCGCACCCAGAGCCAGACCUCCUCACCCAGAGCCAGACCUCCACCUCCUGUCAAAAGUCCUCCAGAACAGCUGAAAGGCGAGGCUGAGAGGUUGGGGACCGGCUUGUGGUGCCAGGAUGGACCGGAGACUGAGGCUGGAGACCAGGGGCCUGCAGCACCGGACCAGAGGACGUUGGGGCCAGAUAUGAGCUGUUUGUUCCAGACCAGGACUCUGGCUGAGGAGCGCUGAUGGAGGAGCCAAGACUCUGGAGGACGACAUCACUCUACCAACAAGGAUCCUCGUCAGUUUGCAUAAAAGACAAAUUACGUUUGUAACCAGACCAGGAAUCUGGAUUACUGACGGAGAAGCCAUACAUCUGGAAGGCAAAUCCUGAGGACGACCAGGACUCCUCGUAAGUUUGCAUUAUCUGGACCUGGUGGACCAGACACACCUGAGCUGAACCUCACCUGAUCCUGUUUGGUCGGGGUCAGACUCACCUGAGCUGAACCCCACCUGAUCCUGCUGGUCCCGUCUCCUCAGUUUCUUAGCCUCAUCUUCCAGAAGACCUGCUGAACUCAGCGGUCUGAUCCUGAUGGAUCAAUGACCUCCAGUGGGAGUGAUCUUCUUGACCCCACAUGUACCUGUGUGCUUCCACACACCUUACCCUCACAUCUGUCACUAAUCUCACUACUUCAUUAAUCUCUAAUCCUUCCCUUCUUCUUCCUUCUCCGUGGUUCGAACCUUUACUCUGAAGGAGUGUCUUCUUGAACCUUUACACUGAAGGACCGUCUUCCUGCCCUCAGAGGGUUCAGCGUUAGGGUUGAGAGUCAGGGUUUAGAGUCAGGGACAGAGCUGGUUAGGGAGGACUGGUUUUACACAAACCUCUUCACUUGCUUUUGUGAAUGGUGGUGACAUUUUGAAAUGAUUAAUUUGGGAAAAUGUUUUCCUCUGUUUUCCUUUACAAAAGUACGUGUUCAACUGUGUUCAAAGCUUUUUUGUUUAUACUGUAUAUUAAAAUCCUACAUUGACUUCUG